Non-coding RNA from Heterocephalus glaber (naked mole-rat), 874 nucleotides. NCBI's taxonomy places the organism in Eukaryota, Metazoa, Chordata, Mammalia, Rodentia, Bathyergidae. The record is from RefSeq and is a predicted model, not a curated record.
CACAAACACUGGACACGCUGAAGGCGCUCUUCGGACGGUAACUUACUCAGGCCUCCGUUCUCUAAGAGCGUGGGUGCCGGCUUGGGAGCACGCAAGGCCUUCUCACGUCGUGCUUCCAGCUCCUCACCACUAGCACAAACAGUAUCUCAAGACUGGCUUCAUAAGAAUGAUGUUGGGAGAUGAAUGGAAUUGAAAAGGCAGGACAGAGGAGAGCACUCUGGACUCCGUGGCAGGAACAGGACGGCUCUCCUGGCGGGCAGUCAUCGCCUGCAGAAGGAUGGUGUCAGCACGGCUGCCUGUCGGAGAACGAGAACUGCUGGGACCAGCAUGUCUGGCUACAGCGCCUGUGACCCCAUUACCAGCAGGGCUCCUGGGCUGACACUGCUGGCCAGGUGGGAUCCCCUUCCUCCCCCACUGCCCCUGGGCAUCCCCCUCCAAGCUGCACAGCGGGUGGGGGACAGUCUCAGACAGAGAAAGGCCACUCUCCCAUCAAGGGCACACCAAGACAUGCUAGAAUCUGCAAAUAAACUCUCAGGACUAACGUGUUUGUGGUGGGUGUGGCAGCGCACCCCUGUGAUCCCAGCUCUUAGAAGGCCGAGGCAGGAGGAAUCAGGAGUUCGAGGCCAGUCUGUAUGACGUAUAUUGGGAGACUCUCAAAAACAAACAAAAAAAGCAAGAAAGAUUCUGAAUGUGAAAGUAGAACCCACCCACGAUCUCGUCAUACAGCUGUUACACUGCAGCCCCAGUGUGAUACUGGGGCCUUUUUACCGGUGCACGAGUUUACACCACGUAUCCCGGUCACUUGGAAAGUACUGGUCUCCGUAAGGGAUAUGAAUUUGCCAAAUGUUGACACAUUUCAUUAUACAAUAAAAAA